CCUACGGGUGGCAGCAGUGCGGAAUAUUGGUCAAUGGGCGAGAGCCUGAACCAGCCAAGUCGCGUGACGGAAGACGGUCCUAUGUAUUGUAAACCUCUUUUGUCGUGGAGCCAAUGACGCCACGCGUGUCGUUCCGAGAGUCCCCUAAGACACAGCAUCGGCUACCUCCGUGCCAGCAGCCGCGGUAAUACGGAGUAUUCGAGCGUUAUCCGGAUUUAUUGGGUUUAAAGGGUGAGCAGGCGGAAGAUCAAGUCAGCGUUAAAAAGGUGGGGCUCAACCUCGUCGAGCCGUUGAAACUGGUUUUCUUGAGUGAGCGAGAAGGAUGCGGAAUGCGUGGUGUAGCGGUGAAAUGCAUAGAUAGCACGCAGAACUCCGAUUGCGAAGGCAGCAUACCGGCGCUCAACUGACGCUGAUGCACGAAAGUGUGGGUAUCGAACAGGAUUAGAUACCCUUGUAGUC
Molecule: ribosomal RNA, 459 nt
Filed under: uncultured bacterium
Lineage: Bacteria
Description: partial 16S ribosomal RNA
Rfam family: Bacterial small subunit ribosomal RNA
Source: RNAcentral